RNAcentral lists this ribosomal RNA (253 nucleotides) under uncultured bacterium. Its description in RNAcentral is "partial 16S ribosomal RNA". It matches the Rfam family "Bacterial small subunit ribosomal RNA", at positions 524 to 776 of the family's 1533-position model. The record is from RNAcentral.
GACGGAGGGUGCAAGCGUUAUUCGGUAUCAUUGGGCGUAAAGGGCGUGUAGGCGGCCGGGUAAGUCAGGCGUGAAAGCCCAGGGCUCAACCCUGGAAGUGCGCUUGAAACUGAUCGGCUUGAGUCCGGGAGAGGGAAGCGGAAUUCCUGGUGUAGAGGUGAAAUUCGUAGAUAUCAGGAGGAACACCGGUGGCGAAGGCGGCUUCCUGGACCGAGACGGACGCUGAGACGCGAAAGCGUCGGGAGCAAACAGG